This 253-nucleotide ribosomal RNA is filed under the name uncultured bacterium. RNAcentral's name for it is "partial 16S ribosomal RNA". It matches the Rfam family "Bacterial small subunit ribosomal RNA", at positions 524 to 776 of the family's 1533-position model. The record is from RNAcentral.
UACAGAGGGUGCGAGCGUUAAUCGGAAUUACUGGGCGUAAAGCGCGCGUAGGUGGUUAAUUAAGUUGACUGUGAAAUGCCAGGGCUUAACCUUGGGAAGUCAGUCAAGACUGGUUAACUUGAGUAGGGUAGAGGGAAGUGGAAUUUCCGGUGUAGCGGUGAAAUGCGUAGAUAUCGGAAAGAACAUCAGUGGCGAAGGCGGCUUCCUGGACCCAUACUGACACUCAUGCGCGAAAGCGUGGGGAGCAAACAGG